AAGACACUAGUAAAAUGAAAUUACAUUUCCUUGUCGGGGAAGAGUUGUGAGUUAAACCCCCACGUGUCUUA
This 71-nucleotide transfer RNA is filed under the name Limnichthys fasciatus (barred sand burrower). RNAcentral's name for it is "tRNA-Asp". The record is from RNAcentral. Lineage: Eukaryota; Metazoa; Chordata; Actinopteri; Acropomatiformes; Creediidae.